This 502-nucleotide ribosomal RNA is filed under the name Vermamoeba vermiformis. Its description in RNAcentral is "SSU rRNA". It matches the Rfam family "Eukaryotic small subunit ribosomal RNA", at positions 1215 to 1719 of the family's 1831-position model. Lineage: Eukaryota; Tubulinea; Echinamoebida; Vermamoebidae. The record is from RNAcentral.
UUACGAGGUCAGGACACUGUGAGGAUUGACAGAUUGAAAGCUCUUUCUUGAUUCAGUGGGUGGUGGUGCAUGGCCGUUCUUAGUUGGCGGAGUGAUUUGUCUGGUUAAUUCCGUUAACGAACGAGACCUUAACCUGCUAAAUAGUCACGCGAACCGGUCCGCAAGGGCUCAAAGUUCGCGGCUCGACUUCUUAGAGGGACUAUUCGCACCCGCCAGCGAAUGGAAGUUUGAGGCAAUAACAGGUCUGUGAUGCCCUUAGAUGUUCUCGGCCGCACGCGCGUUACACUGACGGAGUCAACGAGCGUUUUUCCUUGCCCGAUAGGGUUGGGUAACCUCCUGAAACUCCGUCGUGACGGGGAUAGAUCAUUGCAAUUAUUGAUCUUGAACGAGGAAUUCCUAGUAGGCGCGAGUCAUCAACUCGCGCCGAUUACGUCCCUGCCCUUUGUACACACCGCCCGUCGCUCCUACCGAUUGAACGGUCCGGCGAGAACUCCGGAUGGUC